UAAUAAGACUCGUAUGUAUAAACCCCGUUAUAUAAAUAAAAUUUCUCUGUUCUGAAUGUGUUAUGUGUUAUUAUAUACUUGGUUUGACAAAAUUGACCAAAUAAAUUUUUAUCCGAAAAACGUCGUGCUUGACACCUUGUGCUUAAAUUUUUCUUCUAUAAUCGGACUUUUCGGUAAAAUUAUUUUGACAAGUUAUUUUGUCGUGCUUACACUGAAAAAACGCUUUGUCG
This 230-nucleotide long non-coding RNA is filed under the name Panax ginseng (ginseng). Its description in RNAcentral is "long non-coding RNA (PGIN_LNC004985)". The record is from RNAcentral. Lineage: Eukaryota; Viridiplantae; Streptophyta; Magnoliopsida; Apiales; Araliaceae.